Molecule: ribosomal RNA, 253 nt
Filed under: uncultured bacterium
Lineage: Bacteria
Description: partial 16S ribosomal RNA
Rfam family: Bacterial small subunit ribosomal RNA
Source: RNAcentral
UACAGAGACGUCGAGCGUUGUUCGGAUUCAUUGGGCGUAAAGGGUGCGUAGGCGGUGAGGUAAGUUGGAUGUGAAAUCUCAGGGCCUAACCCUGAAAGUGCAUCCAAAACUGCCUUGCUUGAGGACUGGAGGGGAGACUGGAAUUCACAGUGGAGCAGUGAAAUGCGUAGAUAUUGUGAGGAACACUAGUGGCGAAGGCGAAUCUCUGGACAGUUCCUGACGCUGAGGCACGAAGGCCAGGGGAGCAAACGGG